UCAUGCAAAGAGAGCCUGACGAGGCAGAGGAAAGAUCAUGGCAGGACUUCUGUCUUGGUGGACAGAUGUAGGAUGUGGAUACCAAAGAAUUGAGUAGAUCUGUCACAAAGCAAUGGAAGAUGACAUUUGAUAUGGGUGGGCCAACUGCGAAUAAAAAGAAGACGUUCACUUGGGAGAUAGAAAAGAGAAGUUCUAGUCAUGACUUUUCCAAUUUACUUGCUAUAUAACCUUGAAUAAGUACCCUCUCUGAAUUCCUGUCUCCUUACCUGUGGAAUGAAGACAAAAAUUCCUAAGGCUCUAGCAAGAUUGUCAAACAAAGGCCUAUAUGUGUGAGUUGCAAAUAAAAGGAAAGCACCUUCUGAUAA
Homo sapiens (human) is the source of this 365-nucleotide long non-coding RNA. The record is from Ensembl. NCBI's taxonomy places the organism in Eukaryota, Metazoa, Chordata, Mammalia, Primates, Hominidae.